UCAAGCGACUAAGCGCAUACGGUGGAUGCCUUGGCAAUUGGAGGCGAUGAAAGACGUUGGAGCCUGCGAAAAGCUCUGGGAAGGUGGCAACCAACCUAUGAUCCAGAGAUGUCUGAAUGGGGAAACCCACCUAGUGUAAGCUAGGUAUCCUUUGACUGAAUACAUAGGUCAUUGGAGGCGAACCCGGGGAACUGAAACAUCUAAGUACCCGGAGGAAAAGAAAUCAACCGAGAUUCCCUUAGUAGCGGCGAGCGAAAGGGGAUCAGCCGAGCUUUUAAUUGAUAGUGGAACGCUCUGGGAAGUGCGACCAUAGUGGGUGAUAGUCCCGUACACGAAAUCAAUUUUAAGACGUAUUAAGUAGGUCGGCACACGUGAUAUGUUGACUGAAGAUAGGGGGACCAUCCUCUAAGGCUAAAUACUCCCAAUUGACCGAUAGUGAACCAGUACCGUGAGGGAAAGGCGAAAAGAACCCCUGUGAGGGGAGUGAAAUAGAACCUGAAACCGUAUGCGUACAAGCAGUGGGAGCAUACUUGUUAUGUGACUGCGUACCUUUUGUAUAAUGGGUCAGCGACUUAUUUUCAGUAGCAAGCUUAACCGUAUAGGGGAGGCGUAGGGAAACCGAGUCUUAAUAGGGCGUUUAGUUGCUGGGAAUAGACCCGAAACCGGGCGAUCUAGCCAUGGGCAGGUUGAAGGUUGAGUAACAUCAACUGGAGGACCGAACUCACGUAUGUUGAAAAAUGCGGAGAUGACCUGUGGCUCGGAGUGAAAGGCUAAUCAAGCCCGGAGAUAGCUGGUUCUCCUCGAAAUCUAUUUAGGUAGAGCCUCGCAUCUUACCCUCGGGGGUAGAGCACUGUUUCGGCUAGGGGGUCAUCCCGACUUACCAACCCGAUGCAAACUCCGAAUACCGAGGAGUACAAUUGCGGGAGACACACGGCGGGUGCUAACGUCCGUCGUGGAAAGGGAAACAACCCAGACCGCCAGCUAAGGUCCCAAAGUAUAGUUAAGUGGGAAACGAUGUGGGAAGGCUUAGACAGCUAGGAGGUUGGCUUAGAAGCAGCCACCCUUUAAAGAAAGCGUAAUAGCUCACUAGUCGAGUCGGCCCGCGCGGAAGAUUUAACGGGGCUAAACUAUACACCGAAGCUGCGGAUGCGUGUUUACACGCAUGGUAGAGGAGCGUUCUGUAAGCCUGCGAAGGUGAACUGAGAAGUUUGCUGGAGGUAUCAGAAGUGCGAAUGCUGACAUGAGUAACGAUAAGGGGAGUGAAAAACUUCCCCGCCGGAAGACCAAGGUUUCCUGCGCAACGCUAAUCGGCGCAGGGUUAGUCGGCCCCUAAGGUGAGGCAGAAAUGCGUAAUCGAUGGGAAACAGGUUAAUAUUCCUGUACUUCUAAUAAUUGCGAUGGGGGGACGGAGAAGGCUAGGCCAGCGCGGUGUUGGUUCGCGUUUAAGGUCGUAGGCUGGGGACUUAGGUAAAUCCGGGUCCCUAAGGCUGAGAACUGAUGACGAAGCGAAUCUCUGAUUCGUGAAGUGGUUGAUGCCAUGCUUCCAAGAAAAUCCUCUAAGCUUCAGAUUAUUAGAAACCGUACCCCAAACCGACACAGGUGGUCAGGUAGAGAAUACCAAGGCGCUUGAGAGAACUCGGGUGAAGGAACUAGGCAAAAUGGUACCGUAACUUCGGGAGAAGGUACGCCGCUGAUGGUGAAGGGCUUGCCCCGUAAGCUAUUGGUGGUCGAAGUGACCAGGUGGCUGCAACUGUUUAUUAAAAACAUAGCACUCUGCAAACACGUAAGUGGACGUAUAGGGUGUGACGCCUGCCCGGUGCCGGAAGGUUAAUUGAUGGGGUUAGCUUCGGCGAAGCUCUUGAUCGAAGCCCCGGUAAACGGCGGCCGUAACUAUAACGGUCCUAAGGUAGCGAAAUUCCUUGUCGGGUAAGUUCCGACCUGCACGAAUGGCGUAAUGAUGGCCACACUGUCUCCACCCGAGACUCAGUGAAAUUGAAAUCGCUGUUAAGAUGCAGUGUACCCGCGGCUAGACGGAAAGACCCCGUGAACCUUUACUAUAGCUUCACAGUGGACUUUGAUAUAACUUGUGUAGAAUAGCUGGGAGGCUUUGAAACCGUAUCGCUAGGUACGGUGGAGCCACCUUUGAAAUACCAGCCUGGUUAUCUUGAGGUUCUAACGCAGGUCCCUUAUCGGGAUCGCGGACAUUGUGUGGUGGGUAGUUUGACUGGGGCGGUCUCCUCCCAAAGUGUAACGGAGGAGCACUAAGGUGCGCUAAUCACGGUCGGACAUCGUGAGGUUAGUGUAAAGGCAUAAGCGCGCUUGACUGCGAGACUGACAAGUCGAGCAGGUACGAAAGUAGGUCUUAGUGAUCCGGUGGUUCUGUAUGGAAGGGCCAUCGCUCAACGGAUAAAAGGUACUCCGGGGAUAACAGGCUGAUUCCGCCCAAGAGUUCACAUCGACGGCGGAGUUUGGCACCUCGAUGUCGGCUCAUCACAUCCUGGGGCUGAAGCCGGUCCCAAGGGUAUGGCUGUUCGCCAUUUAAAGUGGUACGCGAGCUGGGUUUAGAACGUCGUGAGACAGUUCGGUCCCUAUCUGCCGUGGGCGUUGGAGAUUUGAGGAAAGCUGCUCCUAGUACGAGAGGACCGGAGUGGACGAACCUCUGGUGUUCGGGUUGUCAUGCCAAUGGCAUUGCCCGGUAGCUACGUUCGGACGGGAUAAACGCUGAAAGCAUCUAAGCGUGAAGCCUCUUCCAAGAUUAGAUCUCCCUGGGAACUUGAUUCCCCUAAAGAGCCGUUGAAGACUACGACGUUGAUAGGCUGGGUGUGUAAGCGUUGUAAGGCGUUGAGCUAACCAGUACUAAUUGCUCGUGAGGCUUGACCA
Molecule: ribosomal RNA, 2880 nt
Filed under: BD1-7 clade bacterium
Lineage: Bacteria; Pseudomonadati; Pseudomonadota; Gammaproteobacteria; Cellvibrionales; Spongiibacteraceae
Description: 23S ribosomal RNA
Rfam family: Bacterial large subunit ribosomal RNA
Source: RNAcentral